RNAcentral lists this transfer RNA (63 nucleotides) under Magicicada septendecula (seventeen-year cicada). RNAcentral describes it as "tRNA-Ala". Lineage: Eukaryota; Metazoa; Arthropoda; Insecta; Hemiptera; Cicadidae. The record is from RNAcentral. RNAcentral also lists the same sequence under 1 other name.
GGGAAUGUAUUUAAUUAUAAUUAUUGAAUUGCAAUCAAUAGGUGCUCAGACUAGCCAUUCUUA